CGUUCGCACCUGCUUAAGGAAACGUGUGUUCUGCUAACGCAAAUCUCGGAAUGGAAUUGAAGGCACAAUUGAACUUUUUAUGUUAAGCUCUACCAAAAGUAGCGCUUUCAACAAGAAUGGGCAUUUCUUCACAAUACUCGGAAUUGCAAAGAUAUAACAAAUGAAUGAAAACCGCCAGAAAUUCGGGAAUAAUAUAAUAGCGUUUGAAACAGGAGAGGCGGUCGCCACGCUAUAUAUGCCAGCUAAUUUGAUUUAUUGAAUAAAUUUCAAAUAAUUUUAUUUACGAUUGUUACUGUAGGUAAAUGCAUAUGAAACU
This is a long non-coding RNA of Dendroctonus ponderosae (mountain pine beetle), 316 nucleotides long. RefSeq lists it as uncharacterized. Lineage: Eukaryota; Metazoa; Arthropoda; Insecta; Coleoptera; Curculionidae. The transcript has 3 exons. The record is from RefSeq and is a predicted model, not a curated record.